UACAGAGGUGGCAAGCGUUGUUCGGAAUUACUGGGCGUAAAGGGCUUGUAGGCGGCCAACUAAGUCCGACGUGAAAUCCCAAAGCUUAACUUUGGAACUGCGUCGGAUACUGGAUGGCUUGAAUUCGGGAGAGGGAUGCAGAAUUCCAGGUGUAGCGGUGAAAUGCGUAGAUAUCUGGAGGAAUACCGGUGGCGAAGGCGGCAUCCUGGACCGACAUUGACGCUGAGGAGCGAAAGCUAGGGGAGCAAACGGG
RNAcentral lists this ribosomal RNA (253 nucleotides) under uncultured bacterium. RNAcentral's name for it is "partial 16S ribosomal RNA". It matches the Rfam family "Bacterial small subunit ribosomal RNA", at positions 524 to 776 of the family's 1533-position model. The record is from RNAcentral.